AGUGAACGCUGGCGGUAGGCCUAACACAUGCAAGUCGAACGGCAGCACAGUAAGAGCUUGCUCUUACGGGUGGCGAGUGGCGGACGGGUGAGGAAUACAUCGGAAUCUACUUUUUCGUGGGGGAUAACGUAGGGAAACUUACGCUAAUACCGCAUACGACCUACGGGUGAAAGCAGGGGAUCUUCGGACCUUGCGCGAUUGAAUGAGCCGAUGUCGGAUUAGCCAGUUGGCGGGGUAAAGGCCCACCAAGGCGACGAUCCGUAGCUGGUCUGAGAGGAUGAUCAGCCACACUGGAAGUGAGAAACGGUCCAGACUCCUACGGGAGGCAGCAGUGGGGAAUAUUGGACAAUGGGCGCAAGCCUGAUCCAGCCGUACCGCGUGGGUGAAGAAGGCCUUCGGGUUGUAAAGCCCUUUUGUUGGGAAAGAAAAGCAGCAGGUUAAUACCCCGCUGUUCUGACGGUACCCAAAGAAUAAGCACCGGCUAACUUCGUG
RNAcentral lists this ribosomal RNA (492 nucleotides) under uncultured bacterium. Its description in RNAcentral is "partial 16S ribosomal RNA". It matches the Rfam family "Bacterial small subunit ribosomal RNA", at positions 29 to 507 of the family's 1533-position model. The record is from RNAcentral.